This 818-nucleotide ribosomal RNA is filed under the name uncultured Rhodococcus sp. RNAcentral describes it as "bacterial SSU rRNA". It matches the Rfam family "Bacterial small subunit ribosomal RNA", at positions 37 to 871 of the family's 1533-position model. The record is from RNAcentral. Lineage: Bacteria; Bacillati; Actinomycetota; Actinomycetes; Mycobacteriales; Nocardiaceae.
UGGCGGCGUGCUUAACACAUGCAAGUCGAGCGGUAAGGCCUUUCGGGGUACACGAGCGGCGAACGGGUGAGUAACACGUGGGUGAUCUGCCCUGCACUCUGGGAUAAGCCUGGGAAACUGGGUCUAAUACCGGAUAUGACCUGCUCUCGCAUGGGGGUGGGUGGAAAGAUUUAUCGGUGCAGGAUGGGCCCGCGGCCUAUCAGCUUGUUGGUGGGGUAAUGGCCUACCAAGGCGACGACGGGUAGCCGACCUGAGAGGGUGACCGGCCACACUGGGACUGAGACACGGCCCAGACUCCUACGGGAGGCAGCAGUGGGGAAUAUUGCACAAUGGGCGAAAGCCUGAUGCAGCGACGCCGCGUGAGGGAUGAAGGCCUUCGGGUUGUAAACCUCUUUCAGCAGGGACGAAGCGCAAGUGACGGUACCUGCAGAAGAAGCACCGGCUAACUACGUGCCAGCAGCCGCGGUAAUACGUAGGGUGCGAGCGUUGUCCGGAAUUACUGGGCGUAAAGAGUUCGUAGGCGGUUUGUCGCGUCGUUUGUGAAAACCCGGGGCUCAACUUCGGGCUUGCAGGCGAUACGGGCAGACUUGAGUGUUUCAGGGGAGACUGGAAUUCCUGGUGUAGCGGUGAAAUGCGCAGAUAUCAGGAGGAACACCGGUGGCGAAGGCGGGUCUCUGGGAAACAACUGACGCUGAGGAACGAAAGCGUGGGUAGCAAACAGGAUUAGAUACCCUGGUAGUCCACGCCGUAAACGGUGGGCGCUAGGUGUGGGUUCCUUCCACGGAAUCUGUGCCGUAGCUAACGCAUUAAGCGCCCCG